UGGGGAAUAUUGCACAAUGGGCGCAAGCCUGAUGCAGCCAUGCCGCGUGUAUGAAGAAGGCCUUCGGGUUGUAAAGUACUUUCAGUCGGGAGGAAGGUGGUAAGGUUAAUAACCUUAUCAAUUGACGUUACCGACAGAAGAAGCACCGGCUAACUCCGUGCCAGCAGCCGCGGUAAUACGGAGGGUGCAAGUGUUAAUCGGAAUUACUGGGCGUAAAGCGCACGCAGGCGGUUGAUUGAGUCAGAUGUGAAAUCCCCGGGCUUAACCCGGGAAUUGCAUCUGAUACUGGUCAGCUAGAGUCUUGUAGAGGGGGGUAGAAUUCCAUGUGUAGCGGUGAAAUGCGUAGAGAUGUGGAGGAAUACCGGUGGCGAAGGCGGCCCCCUGGACAAAGACUGACGCUCAGGUGCGAAAGCGUGGGAAGCAAACAGG
Molecule: ribosomal RNA, 429 nt
Filed under: Chloroflexota bacterium
Lineage: Bacteria; Bacillati; Chloroflexota
Description: Chloroflexi bacterium partial 16S ribosomal RNA
Rfam family: Bacterial small subunit ribosomal RNA
Source: RNAcentral